AGUUUGAUCAUGGCUCAGAUUGAACGCUGGCGGCAUGCCUUACACAUGCAAGUCGAACGGCAGCGGACCUUCGGGUGCCGGCGAGUGGCGAACGGGUGAGUAAUAUAUCGGAACGUACCUUCAGUGGGGGAUAACGUAGCGAAAGUUACGCUAAUACCGCAUAUUCUGUGAGCAGGAAAGCAGGGGAUCGCAAGACCUUGCGCUGAUUGAGCGGCCGAUAUCAGAUUAGCUAGUUGGUGAGGUAAAGGCUCACCAAGGCGACGAUCUGUAGCGGGUCUGAGAGGAUGAUCCGCCACACUGGAACUGAGACACGGCCCAGACUCCUACGGGAGGCAGCAGUGGGGAAUCUUAGACAAUGGGCGCAAGCCUGAUCUAGCCAUGCCGCGUGGACGAUGAAGGCCUUAGGGUUGUAAAGUCCUUUCAGAUGGGAAGAUAAUGACGGUACCAUCAGAAGAAGCCCCGGCUAACUCCGUG
RNAcentral lists this ribosomal RNA (474 nucleotides) under uncultured bacterium. RNAcentral's name for it is "bacterial SSU rRNA". It matches the Rfam family "Bacterial small subunit ribosomal RNA", at positions 10 to 507 of the family's 1533-position model. The record is from RNAcentral.